GAGAAAAGAACUGGAGCGCUCUCUUUAGAGGCUCCGACCCUUCUCUUUCCACACACCCGUGCACUCGGGGGCGUCGGAGCCGGCUGACAAAGCCGCGCCGAGGCGCUUUCCCGCCAUUUCAAACUCCGAAAGUCGUCGAGGAUGUUGUGAUAAAAGAGAAACAAAACA
Molecule: unclassified non-coding RNA, 168 nt
Filed under: uncultured fungus
Lineage: Eukaryota; Fungi
Description: sequence contains ITS1, 5.8S rRNA gene
Source: RNAcentral